ACGACCAUAUCUACCAGAAAAUACGGGAUCCCGUCCGCUCUCCCAGAGUCAAGCUGGUAAGGGGCGGAUUAGUAGUUGGGUCGGUGACGACCAGCGAAUCCCCGCUGUUGUAUGUU
This 116-nucleotide ribosomal RNA is filed under the name Fusarium acuminatum CS5907. The record is from RNAcentral. Lineage: Eukaryota; Fungi; Ascomycota; Sordariomycetes; Hypocreales; Nectriaceae.